Molecule: long non-coding RNA, 1347 nt
Filed under: Papio anubis (olive baboon)
Lineage: Eukaryota; Metazoa; Chordata; Mammalia; Primates; Cercopithecidae
Description: lncRNA (ENSPANG00000045448.1)
Source: RNAcentral
AUGCAAGAUAUUACCCAUGGAAGGAACAUGGAGCCUCCAGGUUCCGCGGGAAGGGUCGGUAUUAGAGGAUUCCUUGGAGCGGUCAGCACUGGUCCGGGCCAGGGUGUCUCUGAUGACAAAACUCCGGAGAGCUUUGUCUCACCAGGGAUCAGAUGGUCCCUGGUUUGGAAGGCGAGGGGAGGGUGCCAACGCCCUUCUCACCUCAGUGUGACCCGGGGGCGCGGGCCCAGACGUCUCUCGGAGCCCCAGCCGCUGGAGUGGCGUUCCCCGAGGGCGGGGCGUGGGCGGGUCCCCCGGGAGCAGCAGGAGCCUCGCGGGGCGGGCGCCCCCAGCGCCGAGGUUGAGGGAGGCCGGGCUCGGUGCGGGGCUGGGAGGGGGGCGCGGAAUCAGGGCUUUUUAGGACCCAGCGCGGCGCCUUCCUCCGGGGGCGAGUGCGGCUGCGCGCGCCGUGUGCCCGUGUCCGGAGAGCGGCGGGCUGGACGCGGACCGCGCGAGCGAGCAGGCGACGGGCGAGCAGCUAGCGGAGCAGCAGCCCCGGCGGCAGCAGCGUCGCGGCGGCGGCGGCGGCCGCUCCGCGCCUCGCCUUACCGGCCUCGCCGGCCUCACCUCGCCGCGCCCGGACCCGCCACCCCCGCCUCCCCGCCCGACCUCCGCAGCCCCCCGUCUCGGCCGGCAGCGCCCACCGCCUGCCCGAAGCGAGCAGCGGAGUGCGGGGCGCAGAGGCACCGGAGCCAGUGCCCGCCGGCCCCGCAAACCAAACCUAGCCGGGAGAACCCCCGCCUGGCCCCGCGCAGCUCCGCGACCGCCGGGAGCUGUCCCUUCAGCACCGCCGCGGGAGCCCGAGUCCCAGCGCAGCCCAGCGGAGCCCCAGCUGGAGCCCGGGCGCACCGAGAGCAGCGCUCGGCGUUAGCCGCACGAGAAACACCCCGGGUGCCCCUGCCCAGGGGGCCCGCCAUCUCCAGGAGGCGGGGAGAAAGAACGAGGAGGGCGGGCGGGCAGGCGGGCCCGCCGCCGGGGGGAGCAGGCAGCCAAGCAAGGAGAGAGGGAGGGGGCCGGAGCCCGCCCUGCGUCCCGAGCUGCAGCCCGGCCACGCAGGGAGGAAGGCAGGUGGCAUCCAUCUACCCCGCGCCGAGAGCGCGCCGCGGCGACCACCGCACAGAGGAGCGCGAAUUUCCCGGCCCGGUCUCCUCCCCUCCCCCUCCCGGGGGCUGGCCUCUAGUCCGGCCCUGGGAGCGGCUGACCUUCCCCCCAAAAGCUUUGUGCCCAUUUCUCCAUUUUCCCGCGGAGAUGGGAACGGGAGACCGGCCCCCCAACCCUCUUUCCCCUCCUCCGGGGGCUCACCGCUGA